RNAcentral lists this ribosomal RNA (429 nucleotides) under Pseudomonadota bacterium. RNAcentral describes it as "Proteobacteria bacterium partial 16S ribosomal RNA". It matches the Rfam family "Bacterial small subunit ribosomal RNA", at positions 355 to 776 of the family's 1533-position model. The record is from RNAcentral. Lineage: Bacteria; Pseudomonadati; Pseudomonadota.
UGGGGAAUAUUGGACAAUGGGCGAAAGCCUGAUCCAGCCAUGCCGCGUGUGUGAAGAAGGUCUUCGGAUUGUAAAGCACUUUAAGUUGGGAGGAAGGGCAGUAAGCGAAUACCUUGCUGUUUUGACGUUACCGACAGAAUAAGCACCGGCUAACUCUGUGCCAGCAGCCGCGGUAAUACAGAGGGUGCAAGCGUUAAUCGGAAUUACUGGGCGUAAAGCGCGCGUAGGUGGUUCGUUAAGUUGAAUGUGAAAGCCCCGGGCUCAACCUGGGAACUGCCUCCAAAACUGGCGAGCUAGAGUAGGGCAGAGGGUGGUGGAAUUUCCUGUGUAGCGGUGAAAUGCGUAGAUAUAGGAAGGAACACCAGUAGCGAAGGCGACCACCUGGGCUCAUACUGACACUAAGGUGCGAAAGCGUGGGGAGCAAACAGG